AUUGAACGCUGGCGGCAGGCCUAACACAUGCAAGUCGAACGGUAACAGGAAGAAGCUUGCUUCUUUGCUGACGAGUGGCGGACGGGUGAGUAAUGUCUGGGAAACUGCCUGAUGGAGGGGGAUAACUACUGGAAACGGUAGCUAAUACCGCAUAACGUCGCAAGACCAAAGAGGGGGACCUUCGGGCCUCUUGCCAUCGGAUGUGCCCAGAUGGGAUUAGCUAGUAGGUGGGGUAACGGCUCACCUAGGCGACGAUCCCUAGCUGGUCUGAGAGGAUGACCAGCCACACUGGAACUGAGACACGGUCCCGACUCCUACGGGAGGCAGCAGUGGGGAAUAUUGCACAAUGGGCGCAAUCCUGAUUCAGCCAUGCCGCGUGUAUGAAGAAGGCCUUCGGGUUGUAAAGUACUUUCAGCGGGGAGGAAGGGAGUAAAGUUAAUACCUUUUCUCAUUGACGUUACCCGCAGAAGAAGCACCGGCUAACUCCGUG
Molecule: ribosomal RNA, 490 nt
Filed under: uncultured bacterium
Lineage: Bacteria
Description: partial 16S ribosomal RNA
Rfam family: Bacterial small subunit ribosomal RNA
Source: RNAcentral